ACAUCAGUGUAGGCAGUGACUGUAUUUUGCCUGUUUCUAUUUUGAAGCCAUUGGAAAAGGGAGCUUAUACCUUUAGCCGUCACUGAUAUUUGAUUUUCUCUCUCAGAAUGGGGGAAUCAAAGCCAAAGAAAGGUUGCACCUGCGCUGAGAAGUCACUACAUAUAAGAGUGGAGCAGCUCACAAAGGAUAAGGAACAGUUACAGAAUGAGGUGGCCGAGCUCACCGAGGAAAGGGAGGCACUUCUGGAGAAGGCGGCCCGCUACGAGGAGUAUGUAGAGGAACUGUGGACACUGAUAAGCCAGCUAAGGGAAUUAAUACACCGUGAGAAGGUGGAGAUUGGUGAUGCUAUAUCCCAUUGCGGCUGCAAGAACUGCAAGUCCCAAGAGUAAAAUGUUGUCCCUGACUCAGGUACAGACUGAAGGCUUGCAUCAUGCAGUAGGAUGAAGGAUUUUAAAAAGGGCUACAAAAAUAAUAGAAAAUAAGGAUGAAUCAAAGCAUGAGUUCUAAAAAUAAAUUUCAUAAUGUUUAAUAACAAAUAAUGGUUGUGGAGUAUUUUGUGCAUUUGACAUUU
Schistocerca nitens (vagrant locust) is the source of this 571-nucleotide long non-coding RNA. RefSeq lists it as uncharacterized. The record is from RefSeq and is a predicted model, not a curated record. NCBI's taxonomy places the organism in Eukaryota, Metazoa, Arthropoda, Insecta, Orthoptera, Acrididae. The transcript is spliced from 3 exons.